GAUCAUGGCUCAGGAUGAACGCUAGCUACAGGCUUAACACAUGCAAGUCGAGGGGAAACGACAUCGAAAGCUUGCUUUUGAUGGGCGUCGACCGGCGCACGGGUGAGUAACGCGUAUCCAACCUGCCCACCACUUGGGGAUAACCUUGCGAAAGUAAGACUAAUACCCAAUGAUAUCUCUAGAAGACAUCUGAAAGAGAUUAAAGAUUUAUCGGUGAUGGAUGGGGAUGCGUCUGAUUAGCUUGUUGGCGGGGUAACGGCCCACCAAGGCGACGAUCAGUAGGGGUUCUGAGAGGAAGGUCCCCCACAUUGGAACUGAGACACGGUCCAAACUCCUACGGGAGGCAGCAGUGAGGAAUAUUGGUCAAUGGGCGGAAGCCUGAACCAGCCAAGUAGCGUGCAGGAAGACAGCCCUAUGGGUUGUAAACUGCUUUCAGUCGGGAAUAAUUCGUCGGUCGUGACCGACGUUGCAGGUACCGUCAUAAGAAGGACCGGCUAAUUCCGUG
This 505-nucleotide ribosomal RNA is filed under the name uncultured bacterium. RNAcentral's name for it is "bacterial SSU rRNA". It matches the Rfam family "Bacterial small subunit ribosomal RNA", at positions 15 to 507 of the family's 1533-position model. The record is from RNAcentral.